RNAcentral lists this transfer RNA (70 nucleotides) under Cavia porcellus (domestic guinea pig). It matches the Rfam family "tRNA". From Rfam's summary of the family: Transfer RNA (tRNA) molecules are approximately 80 nucleotides in length. Their secondary structure includes four short double-helical elements and three loops (D, anti-codon, and T loops). The record is from Rfam by way of RNAcentral. Lineage: Eukaryota; Metazoa; Chordata; Mammalia; Rodentia; Caviidae.
GGGGAUGUAGCUCAGUGGCAUAAGCACCUGCCUUGCAAGCAGGCAGUUGUGAGUUCAAUUCCCGGUACCG